GGCCUCCUGGUGCCACCACAGGCUGUGUGCUUACACUGGCUGUGCAGAAACCGGAGGCAGAGUAAACUUCCCCACGGACACCUCAGCUCAGGCGCUCUGCCUGGUCUGUACUGUGAAUGGGGACACAUUG
Myotis daubentonii (Daubenton's bat) is the source of this 130-nucleotide small nucleolar RNA. RefSeq annotates it as small nucleolar RNA SNORA51. The record is from RefSeq and is a predicted model, not a curated record. Lineage: Eukaryota; Metazoa; Chordata; Mammalia; Chiroptera; Vespertilionidae.